This 298-nucleotide ribosomal RNA is filed under the name uncultured Glomeromycotina. RNAcentral's name for it is "partial 28S ribosomal RNA". The record is from RNAcentral. Lineage: Eukaryota; Fungi; Glomeromycota.
UAUCACUCAGCGGGUAGCGUAGGUAAUUUAUUGCUUUCGUUUUCCGUGUACUUUGUUGUCUGCUGGUUAGCAUCAAUUUUGAUUGUCAUAAAAAGGUUAAGGGGAUGUGGCUCCUUCGGGAGUGUUAUAACCCUUAGCGGAAUGUGGCGAUUGGGAUUGAGGAUUGCAACGAAUACCUUUAGGGCAGUUCCGUCUGGUCUCUUGUUGAUUUUCAGAUAGCAAAAGCUUGCUUUUGUUGUUUGAAUAGAGUUAGCAAAUAGAUUGGAAAGUGAAUUAAUUCGUUAAGGAUGCUGACGUA